UCGAUUAUAGCCGUGUUCCUUUAAUUGUCUCGUAAAGACAGGAGGGAAACAGAGCUUACGGUUUAAGCGAAAAUAUGAGCCUGCAAACACACGAGAUAACGAUGCUGGGGGGCAUACUAUCGUAGCAGUAACUAUGGUUAUUAGAGUCGUUCGCUGACGGGAUGACCCUGCUUACCUCGGUUCGUUAGCUGAUAAUCAUUAGCGUUUCUGUAAAUUGGACUCGACGGAUUUUACGUUGCCUGAAGAAGAUCUCCGCACAGUGGCAUAGAUAUGAUGUGCUGACAACCCAUUGCCGUAUCCCACCCACCAGACCGGGUCAUUACUAAGAAAUUCGCACCAGCCCCCAUCUCAAAGCUCGCCCCCCAAAUACCGUCACCUGUCUGGAUAAGCCAUUGCUGUACAUAUGUUAAUAUCUGCACAUGGUUUGGCACAUAGGAGUGAAGUUUUAAUAUGAUCCAUCUUCAAAUCAAUCGCAGUGCAAUCAGUAUAGCUACGACGCCCCAUGUAUUACAUCAACAAAAAGACACGCGUUGAUAUACUUGUACAUUGCAUUACCACUAUAUACCUACCGCGUCUUCCGGACCGUUCUACCCCGUGGAUGCAUAAUAACUUCUUACUUCAUUAUUAUCUAUUCAAAUUUCUUGAUAAUCUAGCGAGUGUGUACGUCGCAGCAUAUUCUAGUAACGUUCCGUGGAAAGCAAAAACUCAGUGAGGGUCCGAACAUCCCAAAGAGAGAAACCACGCAGCGUAACAUGGCUAAUGGAGUUCGAACUGAGCCGUGGGCCGUAGCCAAACGCAAUGUGUGCCAGGAGAUAGGCAUCGGUCGCGUAGGUUCCCCCUUCCUUGCUCUGCUUUUCCAUCGUGAAUCCAUAACAAAUCAACCUGUGAUGCACAUAGGAGAAUCAAUUAGGAGAUUAGCAAAUCUCCUCAAAAAAAUGCCUUAUUUUUGAUCUUCUUAAGAAAGAGCGUGAGGGGGUAACGAAGAAGUAAGUCAACCAAAACGACGAGUACCAGCUCGAAAGCAGAGGUUCGUGUGACGCCUGUUUUCUACCGAGAUUCAUAAAAAAAAAGAAUUUGAAAGGACAGCUUAAAAAGCAGCUAGAUUCGAGCUCGGUGCGAAAGGCUUCGGCAACCACUUGUUUACACGCUUCUGGACCUGCGUCUCCUGUCGCUACGUUACGCGCAUAGUUAAAUGCUGAAAUUUCCUUAUUACUACUACUGCUGCUCCCUGCGUAGCCUAACGAGAUCUAGAUAAAAAUUAUGAUGGUAGCGAUAAUGGUCGUAUGAAGUCGAUUGUGGCGUUGGUUCUAUCUCCUUUUUUGUUUGCUCCUAUUUUUCCUGCCUGUUGAAUAUGUCUGAUCUUAUUGGCUAUGUUUGGAAUACUCCAUUUGGACAAAAAUAUGGCCGAUGGACGAACGUGUGGAAAAUAUUCAGCAUCUUGCAGCACCAGGCAGCGGGAAGAGCGGGAAUAUGGAGCGCUUUCUGACAAUGUCGAAAAGACAGUUUCAAAUGCAUUCUUGGGGUAUGGAGGGGAUCACAUAAGUAUUUUCAACAAUGCAAAGACCG
This is a long non-coding RNA of Varroa destructor (honeybee mite), 1566 nucleotides long. The record is from RefSeq and is a predicted model, not a curated record. NCBI's taxonomy places the organism in Eukaryota, Metazoa, Arthropoda, Arachnida, Mesostigmata, Varroidae.